GUGGAUUAGAUACCCUGGUAGUCCACGCCCUAAACGAUGUCAACUAGCUGUUGGGGGUUUGAAUCCUUGGUAGCGUAGCUAACGCGUGAAGUUGACCGCCUGGGGAGUACGGCCGCAAGGUUAAAACUCAAAGGAAUUGACGGGGACCCGCACAAGCGGUGGAUGAUGUGGAUUAAUUCGAUGCAACGCGAAAAACCUUACCUGCUCUUGACAUGUACGGAACUUGGUAGAGAUAUCUUGGUGCCCGAAAGGGAGCCGUAACACAGGUGCUGCAUGGUUGUCGUCAAAU
Molecule: ribosomal RNA, 289 nt
Filed under: uncultured bacterium
Lineage: Bacteria
Description: partial 16S ribosomal RNA
Rfam family: Bacterial small subunit ribosomal RNA
Source: RNAcentral